This 459-nucleotide ribosomal RNA is filed under the name uncultured bacterium. RNAcentral's name for it is "bacterial SSU rRNA". It matches the Rfam family "Bacterial small subunit ribosomal RNA", at positions 29 to 507 of the family's 1533-position model. The record is from RNAcentral.
AUUGAACGCUAGCGGGAUGCCUUACGCAUGCAAGUCGAACGGCAGCGCGGACUUCGGUCUGGCGGCGAGUGGCGAACGGGUGAGUAAUGUAUCGGAACGUGCCCAGUAGCGGGGGACAACCACUCGAAAGAGUGGCUAAUACCGCAUACGCCCUACGGGGAAAGGGGGGAGUCGCAAGACCUCUCACUAUUGGAGCGGCCGAUAUCGGAUUAGCUAGUUGGUGGGGUAAAGGGCCUACCAAGGCGACGAUCCGUAGCUGGUUUGAGAGGACGACCAGCCACACUGGGACUGAGACACGGCCCAGACUCCUACGGGAGGCAGCAGUGGGGAAUUUUGGACAAUGGGCGAAAGCCUGAUCCAGCGACGCCGCGUGGAGGACGAAGCCCUUCGGGGUGUAAACUCCUUUUCUCAGGGAAAAGGAUGAUGGUACCUGAGGAAUAAGCCCCGGCUAACUACGUG